Molecule: long non-coding RNA, 1405 nt
Filed under: Felis catus (domestic cat)
Lineage: Eukaryota; Metazoa; Chordata; Mammalia; Carnivora; Felidae
Description: lncRNA (ENSFCAG00000051894.1)
Source: RNAcentral
CAUAGCAACUUAGAGACUACGGCGGCCGAAGGAGCCAAACCGCGCCAGGCUUUUUGUGCGUGGUGCAAAGGAUGCUGGGAUGGGCUUGGAGGCCCCACAGUUAUGGAUGCGAGCUGCGAGGAUUUUGCAGUGUCUCCUUUACCAGAUGUUGGCUGGGCACGUUAUUAAUAGUUUUUAACGUGUUUACGUUACGGCUUCCAAAAAUCUUAGUGAGUUUUCUCUGCGCCCUCCCUCUUAGCGCCGCCUUUCCAUGCCCACCGUCCGUGACUGUCCCCCUAUCUAGCUUACUCCAAAGAAGCUCCGGAGAGGCCAGGCUGGGCAGAGUGAGAGUGCUUUUACGUUUCUCUGACGCCGGUCUGCGAUUGUCCCCAGCCUUGUCUAAUUUGACUUUACCGGUUCGUCUUGGGCACAGACCGCUCUCUGAGGCUGCACAGCGCCACGGCUGGGCUGUCCUGUGUUUUGCUGUUGAAUUGGAAACCACCUGACUCUGUAUACACACUUGACUGACCUGUUGGACACUUCAGUUUGUCAGUCUUGACGUUGAUUUAUUGUCUGGAAUGAUGGCAACCAUUUUGUGACCAGGAAGUGACAAGCAUGAGGACAAAGGUCAAUAUCCUAAGGAUGGCGGAAUGGAAGCCUGGAAAGAGCCUUAGUAAUUGAUGACAUUGUUAAGAAAUAGAAUCAAAGGCAACAUACUCUUUGUGGAGAUGAACUUUUAUUUGUUUAAACCAUGGUUAGUUCAUUUGUUGUUGUUGUUUUAAUUAUUUGUGAAUGAGUACAUUCCUAAUUUUCCUAAUUGGUAUAUUUCUCUAGUAGUUGGGAUGUUGGUGUUAAAUAGUCAAAUAGGAAUGGGGAGACUCUCCUAUGGACAGCUUUCCACACUGCAUUGUAUAUUAUGGUCUUUUGGAUAGUCAUUGAUUAGUGCUAUGAAUUAAAAAUGAGUUGUGCUAGAAUUUAUAGAAAAAUCAACACAAAUUUGUGAACUUACAUUGUGAUUUUAUUUUUAUUUUAAAAUGUUCAUUUUUUAUUUAUUUUGAGAGAGAGAAAGAGAGAGAGAGCAUGAGUAGGAGAGGGGCGAAGAGAGAGGGAGAGAGAGAAUCCCAAGCAGGCUUCACACUCAUCAUGGAGCUUGAUCUCAUGACUGGGAGAUCAUGCUCUGAAUGGAAAUCAAGAGUCAGAUGCCUAAGAUUGAGCCACCCAGAACUCCCCUACAUUGUGAGUUUUAGAUUUAAAUGCUGGCAUGUACUUAAAACUGGCACAUUAAAUUAAAAUUCUGCUAUUUAAAACUGUGACUUGGCUGAUUUCAGGAUAAACUUCCGUAAGAAAGUUUGUUGAAUUCUGUUACUUUAAAGAAUAGAACUAUGAAAAUCAAACAAACAAAAAAUAAAACAAAGUAACAACUACA